Molecule: long non-coding RNA, 263 nt
Organism: Anoplophora glabripennis (Asian longhorned beetle)
Lineage: Eukaryota; Metazoa; Arthropoda; Insecta; Coleoptera; Cerambycidae
Exons: 3
Source: RefSeq, a predicted model, not a curated record
CACAGGCGUGUGGAAGUGACUGAAAUAGGUCUCCCUGGUUAUCACCGAAGACACUGUAGAUGCCCCCAUGAGUAGUAAAUACCAGCACCAUGUUUCUCAAAGCCCCAUUUGCAAUUUCAAUGCUAAUAAAGUGUUGCAACAAGUUACGAUUUGAAGAUAACUGCAUUUCAGAAACGGCACUAUUUGUUGGAAUAUACAGGAGCUUCCGUGAUUAUAUAUGUAUGUUAUACGUUGUAUUUUCACUAAAUAAAACUUGAUAAAUA